CAGUAGCCGCGGGAAUACGAAGGGGGCUAGCGUUGCUCGGAAUUACUGGGCGUAAAGGGAGCGUAGGCGGACAUUUAAGUCAGGGGUGAAAUCCCGGGGCUCAACCUCGGAAUUGCCUUUGAUACUGGGUGUCUUGAGUAUGAGAGAGGUAUGUGGAACUCCGAGUGUAGAGGUGAAAUUCGUAGAUAUUCGGAAGAACACCAGUGGCGAAGGCGACAUACUGGCUCAUUACUGACGCUGAGGCUCGAAAGCGUGGGGAGCAAACAGGAUUAGAUACCCCUGUAGUCCCUGUCUCUUAUAA
RNAcentral lists this ribosomal RNA (301 nucleotides) under uncultured bacterium. RNAcentral describes it as "partial 16S ribosomal RNA". It matches the Rfam family "Bacterial small subunit ribosomal RNA", at positions 509 to 809 of the family's 1533-position model. The record is from RNAcentral.